Non-coding RNA from Cherax quadricarinatus, 348 nucleotides. The record is from RefSeq and is a predicted model, not a curated record. NCBI's taxonomy places the organism in Eukaryota, Metazoa, Arthropoda, Malacostraca, Decapoda, Parastacidae.
CCUCUGCUGCCAGUGAGUGGGCAGACAUUGUGAGGGAUCAGUUUACAUACUAUAUACAAGAAAGAAUCCUUCAUCAUGCUAUACAGUCGACAUAUGUCAAGUCACCAACAGUUACGCGUCCUCGUGGAACAACUGCAGCGAGAAGCUAAUAUAGACCGCAUGAAAACCUCGGAAGCAAUCAACCAUCUCAAGAGGUACAUCUCGGAACACGAGGCAGAGGACUACCUUCUGGUCGGCUUCACCUCUCAGAAGGCCAACCCAUUCCGUGAGAAGAGCUCCUGCACCGUCCUGUAAUGUGUAAGCACCUAGACUUGCUACCCAAAACUCACCCAUCUUUAUACAUAAUAU